RNAcentral lists this ribosomal RNA (253 nucleotides) under uncultured bacterium. RNAcentral's name for it is "partial 16S ribosomal RNA". It matches the Rfam family "Bacterial small subunit ribosomal RNA", at positions 524 to 776 of the family's 1533-position model. The record is from RNAcentral.
UACGUAGGUGGCAAGCGUUGUCCGGAUUUAUUGGGUUUAAAGGGUGCGUAGGCGGGUAAGUAAGUCAGUGGUGAAAUCUCCGGGCUUAACUCGGAAACUGCCGUUGAUACUAUUUAUCUUGAAUAUCAUGGAGGUAAGCGGAAUAUGUCAUGUAGCGGUGAAAUGCUUAGAUAUGACAUAGAACACCGAUAGCGAAGGCAGCUUACUACAUGUUAAUUGACGCUGAGGCACGAAAGCGUGGGGAGCAAACAGG